This 498-nucleotide ribosomal RNA is filed under the name uncultured bacterium. RNAcentral describes it as "partial 16S ribosomal RNA". It matches the Rfam family "Bacterial small subunit ribosomal RNA", at positions 28 to 523 of the family's 1533-position model. The record is from RNAcentral.
GAUGAACGCUAGCGGCAGGCCUAAUACAUGCAAGUCGAGGGGUAGAGGAGAGCUUGCUUUCCUUGAGACCGGCGCACGGGUGCGUAACGCGUAUGCAACCUACCCUUUUCUGGGGGAUAGCCCGGAGAAAUCCGGAUUAAUACCGCAUAAGACCACACGGCGGCAUCGUCGAGGGGUCAAACAUUUAUGGGAGAAGGAUGGGCAUGCGUGCCAUUAGCUAGUUGGCGGGGUAACGGCCCACCAAGGCUACGAGGGCUAGGGGAUCUGAGAGGAUGGCCCCCCACACUGGUACUGAGACACUGACCAGACUCCUACGGAAGGCAUCAGUAAGGAAAAUUGGUCAGUGGGCGCAAGCCUGAACCAGCCAUGCCGCGUGCAGGAAGACGGCCCUCCGGGUUGUAAACUGCUUUUGUACGGGAAUAAACCUUUCUUCGUGAAGGAAGCUGAAUGUACCGUAAGAAUAAGGAUCGGCUAACUCCGUGCCAGCAGCCGCCGUAA